UACAGAGGUCCCAAGCGUUGUUCGGAUUCAUUGGGCGUAAAGGGUGCGUAGGCGGCGCGGUAAGUCGGGUGUGAAAUCUCGGAGCUUAACUCCGAAACUGCAUUCGAUACUGCCGUGCUUGAGGACUGGAGAGGAGACUGGAAUUUACGGUGUAGCGGUGAAAUGCGUAGAUAUCGUAAGGAAGACCAGUGGCGAAGGCGGGUCUCUGGGCCGAUACUGACGCUGAGGAGCGAAAGCGUGGGGAGCGAACAGG
RNAcentral lists this ribosomal RNA (253 nucleotides) under uncultured bacterium. RNAcentral's name for it is "partial 16S ribosomal RNA". It matches the Rfam family "Bacterial small subunit ribosomal RNA", at positions 524 to 776 of the family's 1533-position model. The record is from RNAcentral.